Long non-coding RNA from Sarcophilus harrisii (Tasmanian devil), 663 nucleotides. RefSeq lists it as uncharacterized. The transcript is spliced from 5 exons. NCBI's taxonomy places the organism in Eukaryota, Metazoa, Chordata, Mammalia, Dasyuromorphia, Dasyuridae. The record is from RefSeq and is a predicted model, not a curated record.
UACAACUUUUACAUAGCUCCCUCUUUUUGAGCUAUAUGCCAUGACAGAAACUGAGAAGGAAAAGAAAGAUUCAAGAAUGACUGUUUCUCAGUAGUUCAAUAUUUUUCUCUACUAGUGGAUGAUGCCAGUACUGCCUGAAGAGAUAGAAACUCAGUCUUUCAACAACUCUCAGAGAUGAGGAAAGUGAAAACCAGAAAAAGUGAAUAUCUCCCUAGAUUAUGCUAUGCAUUCCGUGAUUGAGUCACAUUGUGCAACCUGCCAGGUCUGUAGCACAUGAUUCCAUCGACUGUGUAUAGAUGCCUUCUUAGGAACUACCCUUCUUACCUGAAAUUCAUGCCUUGAAAUUGCUAAACUUAAAGAUUGCCUCCCACAUGAGGUCCUUCUUGAUCCCUACCUUCAAGUAUCUAAAUUUGUAGCUUCAUCACUUUGUUCCCUUACCCCAAAAUACUUUGAUGCUAUCAAGGUUCCUAGUAUGGAGUAAUCAUUUAAUAAAUGCUCAUUGAUUACCACACUGUAAUUGGAGAUCACUGACUUGGUCAAUGUGUGCAACUAUAGCUUUGACUUUCACCUUCCAAUGGGAACAGCUACAGAAACUGAGGCAAGCAGACAUGAAAUGACCUGCCUAGAUUCACAUAACUAAUAAAUGUCUGAAGCCAAAUAUGA